UACGGGGGGGGCAAGCGUUGUUCGGAAUUACUGGGCGUAAAGGGCUCGUAGGUGGCCAACUAAGUCAGACGUGAAAUCCCUCGGCUUAACCGGGGAACUGCGUCUGAUACUGGAUGGCUUGAGUUUGGGAGAGGGAUGCGGAAUUCCAGGUGUAGCGGUGAAAUGCGUAGAUAUCUGGAGGAACACCGGUGGCGAAGGCGGCAUCCUGGACCAACACUGACACUGAGGAGCGAAAGCCAGGGGAGCGAAUGGG
RNAcentral lists this ribosomal RNA (253 nucleotides) under uncultured bacterium. RNAcentral describes it as "partial 16S ribosomal RNA". It matches the Rfam family "Bacterial small subunit ribosomal RNA", at positions 524 to 776 of the family's 1533-position model. The record is from RNAcentral.